GACGAACGCUGGCGGCGUGCUUAACACAUGCAAGUCGAACGGAAAGGCCCCUUUGGGGGUACUCGAGUGGCGAACGGGUGAGUAACACGUGAGUAACCUGCCCUCGACUUCGGGAUAACUUCAGGAAACUGGGGCUAAUACCGGAUAGGAAUCCUUGCUGCAUGGCGGGGGUUGGAAAGCUUCGGCGGUUUUGGAUGGACUCGCGGCUUAUCAGCUUGUUGGUGGGGUAGUGGCUUACCAAGGCUUUGACGGGUAGCCGGCCUGAGAGGGCGACCGGCCACAUUGGGACUGAGAUACGGCCCAGACUCCUACGGGAGGCAGCAGUGGGGAAUAUUGCACAAUGGGCGGAAGCCUGAUGCAGCAACGCCGCGUGCGGGAUGACGGCCUUCGGGUUGUAAACCGCUUUCAGCAGGGGCGAAGCUUGUGGUGACGGUACCUGCAGAAGAAGCACCGGCUAACUACGUG
This 465-nucleotide ribosomal RNA is filed under the name uncultured bacterium. RNAcentral's name for it is "partial 16S ribosomal RNA". It matches the Rfam family "Bacterial small subunit ribosomal RNA", at positions 28 to 507 of the family's 1533-position model. The record is from RNAcentral.